UCUUUAAAAACCCAUUUCAAGGCAUCUGUACUUCCUCACAAAAGGCAGUAAACACAAAAAAGUUUGUUCAAAGCAAGUGUUGUGGAAAGAAAAAAACUAAACAUCUCUUCCUACAUUUUUGCGCCAAAAUAGAAAACUUGAGAAGUGUCUCGUUCAGUGGCACUCAUAUAUAAUUUGGACCCAUCUUGAUCCUCAUCAUCAUCAUCAUCUCUCCGUUUUCA
This is a non-coding RNA of Caenorhabditis elegans, 221 nucleotides long. NCBI's taxonomy places the organism in Eukaryota, Metazoa, Nematoda, Chromadorea, Rhabditida, Rhabditidae. The record is from Ensembl.